UCUUUAUGAAUGACAAGAUGAUUUUUCUUUUUGAGAAAAAAAAAUAACAUGCUGUCCAUUUCAUUUAUUUUGAAAAUUAACUUAGCUACAAAAAAUAAAACUCUCGGUGUAGGCAACUCUCAGCCUAUUACUUUACUGACUCCUUACAAAUUCUAGUAGUUUUUAUUGGAUCUAAGCUCAAAUUUCUGAAAAUAAUAAUAUUUUUAUGUCUCCAGAGCACCUACCAGAUUGCUGUCAGGAAGUACUGCUCCUUCACAGUCGCUUGACUGUUCCCUCUUUCCAUCUCCUUCUCUCAAAGAGCUCUAACAUUAUUGUCACUACUAUGUUUAAUCUGAUAAUAAUCCUUUUUUAUUGCCACUCUAACCUGGAAAUAAUUUGUUUACUGAUAUCCGGAGACUAAUGUUUUUGUUACCACUAUAUAUGUUUAAUAUGAUUUUUUCAAAAGAUUCUUGUUAUGAUUGCUUAUAUCCACCAAUUGAUGACUCAGUACAGUCAAAUUGCAUCUAGUAUACUGUAUGCCCAAAGUUAUUUGUUUUUUUUGAGAGAUAGAUAGCACGCUAUCCGUUGCAUUUAUUUCAUUUAGAAAUAAACUUAGCUAAAAAUGUGAAUCAACUAGAAUUCGAAAUUGUGUCUCGGAUACCAACCACCAAGUCCUUUGCCAUUUGCUCUUGGGACGGUCGGUCCAAAGUUAUUUGUUAAUCUUACAUCAUCUCUAUUUUUUAUUUUUUCUAAUAAAUAGUUCAAAUUUU
RNAcentral lists this long non-coding RNA (749 nucleotides) under Ananas comosus (pineapple). RNAcentral's name for it is "long non-coding RNA (ACOM_LNC025071)". Lineage: Eukaryota; Viridiplantae; Streptophyta; Magnoliopsida; Poales; Bromeliaceae. The record is from RNAcentral.